This 71-nucleotide transfer RNA is filed under the name Dalcantha dilatata. RNAcentral describes it as "tRNA-Ser". Lineage: Eukaryota; Metazoa; Arthropoda; Insecta; Hemiptera; Tessaratomidae. The record is from RNAcentral.
GAGAAUUGAAGAAUAAUAUAAUAGAAGCUGCUAACUAUCUAUUAAGGCAGUUAAAUUCUGUCUAAUUCUCU